GUCUGUUAGCAAAAAGAGAAGAGGGGAGGCGGCUAAGGGUAAAACCCUAGCGCCGCCUCACUGUUCCUCCACCACCCGCCUUUCAGUCCUGUCCCAUCGUAUAGUAGGCAUGUAGCGUGAGGAGAGAAGGCGAAGCCAUUAAUGCUCCGUCCUUCUCUCCCCAAAAAUCGGCCAAAUAGACCCUUGAAGUUUGGCAUUGGAGCACAAAAGCCUCCAAGUCCAUCACUUGACCCCGGUUGCACUCACAAAAGACUAGCAAGUUUGGACGAAUAAGCGUAGUUAAUUGGACGUGGGACAGGUACACCCAGAUGAGUAGAAGAUAUUACUAGAAGAUGUUCCAGCAGGAUUGGCGAGCUCCCCUUCCUUCCGGAGCGUUGCCGAGUCGGAGUUUGUAUGUUAUGAUGUCUGGAUUGAUGUUAGAGACUUUGCAGACAGAGUUGUGGAUAUAGAAUGUCAGUUUUGUAAGCGGCUCCAUUAGCUGAUAUAUCAUUCUGUGUUAUGUGAUAAAUUCUAUAUGAUUACAGAUUUUGUUUGAUUUGAGAACAAUGA
This is a long non-coding RNA of Lycium barbarum (goji berry), 549 nucleotides long. RefSeq lists it as uncharacterized. Lineage: Eukaryota; Viridiplantae; Streptophyta; Magnoliopsida; Solanales; Solanaceae. The transcript has 4 exons. The record is from RefSeq and is a predicted model, not a curated record.